GUUACUGGUAAAACUGUCUAACAAGUAGUAAAUUAUCAGAUCAUAGUAUGGCUGAAUCCAGUAAACUACUGCCGGGAGCGACUUCUUCAAACAAUUUGGAGGCUGAGGAGAGAGCACGAAAAAAGGAACUGACGUUAAUACCACCUUUGUAUCUAGUAUUCGAAGGUCGAAAUGAGGACGCAGUGGAUGUUAGCAAAAUAUCACUUAUUGAACAGAUAACUGAAUUUGCAAAAAAGACAAAGAUUCCUUGUCAUAUCAUAGGACAAACCGUUUUGUUGCACAGUGUAGUUGCAAAUCAUACCAACACACCUCAGAUUAAGGAAGGAUUCAAUAGAUUUGAUUUGGAAGACAAAAACAUUGAGGAUGACAUAUAUAACUUCAAGGCAAUAGCAGCAUUGGCCAUAGGAAAGGAAUUAUUGCCGGUCAUCAUAUAUUUACGCAAUAGUGAGAUGAAAACAAAACAGUAUAAAAGAAUCAUUCCUCUCAUAUGCAUAAAGGUAAA
Mytilus californianus (California mussel) is the source of this 502-nucleotide long non-coding RNA. RefSeq lists it as uncharacterized. NCBI's taxonomy places the organism in Eukaryota, Metazoa, Mollusca, Bivalvia, Mytilida, Mytilidae. The record is from RefSeq and is a predicted model, not a curated record. The transcript has 6 exons.